Molecule: ribosomal RNA, 166 nt
Filed under: uncultured Glomeromycotina
Lineage: Eukaryota; Fungi; Glomeromycota
Description: partial 18S ribosomal RNA
Rfam family: Eukaryotic small subunit ribosomal RNA
Source: RNAcentral
UUCUUGGAUUUAUUGAAGACUAACUACUGCGAAAGCAUUUGCCAAGGAUGUUUUCANCANUCAAGAACGAAAGUUAGGGGAUCGAAGACGAUCAGAUACCGNUCGUAGUCUUAACCAUAAACUAUGCCGACUAGGGAUCGGAUGAUGUUAAUUUUUUAAUGACUCA